AACAAUUAAUAUUUAUUCAGAAUAAUUAUUUUUCAAUUAGACCAAUCACAUUUGUUCAACAUUAAUUUGCCUGCAGAUGUCAACAUGUCUGACGUACAGGGCAAGUCCACAUGUCUACCGUACAGGGCAAAUAAUCUUAUCUUCGGUAUGCCAGCUCAACAUGGCAUUCACUUGAGAUAUAUUCAUCCUCCAUACCACCUUUAUAAAAUAAAUACAAGUAUUGAUGAACAGCUAUUGCAAGGGUUUGUCACCAUUACCAUUUACAACCUGGUGAACAAGCUUGUCGGGUAACCUCCUUGUUUUCUGAAAGAUGGGCACAAAGUCACAACACAAAGAAGCAAAUGGAAAGUUCACAGUAUAAUUGGAACUGGAAAAUAUAAAAGAACAUAAAAGCUCUAGAAUUAUUUAAUUUCUAGUACUGCUAUUAAAAAUGAUGUCGAGAUCAAAGUGACAGGGCAUUGCUUCACUUUUUUUGUCGACCCAAUUAUAUUUAUUUCUCGCUCCUAGCGAAAAACAUCGGAUCUUCUGAUACAACGUUUUCUUGGUUUUAUGGUUUAAAACACGUGUGGUGUUGGGAUAGCUACAAACUCAAGGCAAACCAUUGGCUAAGCCCUUUUUUCUUUAUGAGAAAGAGAGUGGUUUAUUGAUUACCUAGGAACAAGAUUACAAUCAUUUUAAGAAACUAUUCCAAACAUCCACAGGUGUAAGUAUUUCUUUGAUGCUUAGGACAUAUUAAGUAGACGUAGAAAGGAAAUGAUUGUGACCUGCAAUCAAUCACUAAGACUAGACAGUAUGAAAUUAACGCCUACCUUUUGUAGUGCCAUAAAGGCCACGCCCUAUUAAAUUUUUAAAUAGCAAUAUUACAUUAGCAGACCCUAAUUAGAUUAAUUUAACGAGGGGGAUGAGGGGUGGAUUAUGCUAUAAACGCAUACAUUUGUGGAUAGAGGGGACAUCAGAGAUGACUUUCUCAUUGAGGUAUGAAUGUGCACUUUUAUAUGUAGAAUGUACACAUUUAAGAUUUCAUAUCUCAAAAAUGAGUGAAAGUUUGACAUGAGCCUUAAAAAAAAUUCUGGAAUGCGCACAAGAGUUGCGCAUCUUUGUAUUAAUUUAAGAGAAGAAAAGGGGAAAGAACCCCAUUACAACACAAACACCACACAGUCACACACAAUAGUAAAAAAAAGAAUCUAAUUUUCAAAUGGCAACAAUAAAAUUAUUUUCCCUACAUUUAUUUGUAUCAAGUUUCAAUACCAACUAUUCGAAUUGAAUAAACCUUUAAUGCACAGUUAUACAUUUAGAUUAUUGUUAGACUCUGUGUGUGUGGGCUGGCACCACUGUUGGGUUGUCGGCCCAUUAGGGUUAGGGUUUCCUGUGUCUCUAUAUAUUGUAGUCCACCUCUAUGCAAUACAAUCCACUUUACACUUCUACACCCGCGGCCAGGAUAGCGGCAGCAGCGCAGAGCAGGACCGGCGAAGAGGGGGAGGGAGCCCAUGGCGAGCACGGCGGCGGGCGAGGGUCACCGCCUCGGGGAGAUCGCGGCGAGCGAGGGGCACCUGCUGCUGCUGAAGCUGUGGCAGCGGGAGGAGGACCGCCUGGGCCGCCGCGCGUGCGCGCUGGAGGCGCACAUGGACGCGGCGCGUCGGGACGCCUUCUACCUCUGCGCGGCCUUCCUCGCCUUUCACGGCCUUUCCCUCGCGCUCCUCUUCGCCGCGUCCGUGGUCGCCGCGGCCACCACCUCCCCUUCUGCCGCGUGCAGGAGGUGGUGGGCGUCGUCGUCCCUGUCCCUGGCAGCGUCCCUCGCGCUCGCCGCGGCCGUGCAGCUCCUGGUGGGCGCCUACUGGCGCGCCGCGGCGCGGCUGUGCCGGGACCGCGGUGAUGCGCGCGCACUCGCGCGGGCCGUGCAGGAGCUGCGCUUGAAGGGCGCCGCGUUUGACCUGUCCAAGGAGCCGCGUCCCCUCAACGUCGGCCUUCCCCCUGCUCUUCCCAGCCCUUGGCCAGGGAGCGCCCAGGUCCGGCGACCUCCCAACUCCAUGGGCGCAGGGACCUCCUUCCUCCUCCAUCCAGCUCCCCCUCCUUUCUCCCAGCCGCUGGACCUCCCCUCCCCGCGGUCGCCCCUUUCCUGCAGCCCGGCGUCAUGGCCGCCCCUCCCCUCAUGCCGGCCAGCCCCUCCUCUUCCCUGGCUGCACGCAUGCCGCCUCACUGGCCGUGGGCGCCCCCCUUCCCCGGCCUCCCAAGCAGCGCCACUGGAUCCGUGCCCCCCUGUGUCUGCGUCGCUUGAUUCGUGAGCCUGCGGGCGCGCGCCGACGUUCUCUCCCUAGUGUCGAUCACCUCGACCAGCAGCACCUUGUAGCACCACCCUUCGAACUUCUCCCGUCACGGUGCCGUCAACACCCCUUGCCAGGUCCGGCGCAGGCCCCUGCUCGGCUGGACCCGCCCCGUCGCCCUCCCCCUUCAUCGCCGCCUUCGUUGGUUCACCCUAACUGUCGGCGUUUCGAGACCGGGGGGUCCCUAAUCCGACGAGUGAGUGUGCCGCGUGCCCCAGCCCAGAUGGGUCGAGCGCGUGGGCGAGCGCGAAGGGGGGAAGGCGAGGUGGCCGGAGACGGGCGUGAGAGAGGUGGAAAUCCCGCGGCCUUCGUGUUCGUCCCGCGCCCAGGUCGGGUGCGCUUGCAGUAGGGGGUUACAAGCGUCCACGCGGGUGAGGGAAGCGAGCGGCCCCAGGAGAGCGCCUGUCCCGUCCUCGUUCCCGCGCGGCCAACCCUCUCUAAGAAGGCCCUGGUCCUUCCUUUUAUAGUCGUAAGGAGAGGAUCCAGGUGUACGAUGGGGGUGUAGCAGAGUGCUACGUGUCUAGCGGAGGGAGAGCUAGCGCCCUAAGUACAUGCCAAUGUGGCAGCCGGAGAGAUCUUGGCACCCUGCUGGUGUGAUGUCGUGACUGUCGGAGGAGCAACGGAGCUUGGCGGAGGGACAGCUGUCGGAGCGGUCGAGUCCUUGCUGACGUCCCCCUGCUUCCGUAAGGGAGCUGAGAGCCGCCAUCGUCACAGGGCACGCGGGGCACCAUCAUUGCCUAUCUGGUGGAGCUAGCCAGAUGGGACACCGGUCUUGUUCUCUGCGGCCCGAGUCGGCUUGGGGUAGGGUGAUGAUGGCGCUCCCUGUUGACGUGGCGGGCCCGCGCCCGAGGCCGGGCGACGUGGGGGCUCCUCCGAAGCUGGGGUCGAGUCUGUCUUCCGUUGCCGAGGCCGAGCCCGAGCCCCUGGGUCGGGCGAGGCGGAGGUCGUUCGGUAGAGGCCAGGGCGGAGUCCGAGCCCUGGGUCGGACGGAGCGGAGUUCGCCGUCUUCCGGGUCUUAGCCCGAGUCCGAGCCCUGGGUCGGACGGAGCGGAGUUCGCCGUCUUCCGGGUCUUAGCCCGAGUCCGAGCCCUGGGUCGGACGGAGCGGAGUUCGCCGUCUUCCGGGUCUUAGCCCGAGUCCGAGCCCUGGGUCGGGCGGAGCGGAGUUCGCCGUCUUCCGGGUCUUAGCCCGAGUCCGAGCCCUGGGUCGGGCGGAGCGGAGUUCGCCGUCUUCCGGGUCUUAGCCCGAGUCCGAGCCCUGGGUCGGGCGGAGCGGAGAUCGCCGUGUUCCGGGGCUUAGCCCGAGUCCGAGCCCUGGGUCGGGCGGAGCGGAGAUCGCCGUCUUCCGGGGCUUAGCCCGAGUCCGAGCCCUGGGUCGGGCGAAGCGGAGAUCGCCGUCUUCCGGGGCUUAGCCUGAGUCCGAGCCCUGGGUCGGGCGGAGCGGAGUUUCCUAUGGCGCCUUUGGCAGGGCCUGACUGCCUGUCAGUCUCACUCUGUCAAGUGGCACUGCAGUCGGAGUGGCGCAGGCGGCGCUGUCCUUCUGUCAGACCGGUCAGUGGAGCGGUGAAGUGACGGCGGUCACUUCGGCUCUGCCGGGGGGCGCGCGUCAGGAUAAAGGUGUCAGGCCACCUUUGCGUUAAAUGCUCCUGCGACUUGGUCGGUCGGUGCGGCGAUUUAGUCAGGAUUGCUUCUUAGCGAAGGCAAGGCCUCGGGCGAGCCGGGGAUGUGUCCGCCGUUAAAGGGGGGCCUCGGGCGAGACGGAGAUCCCUAGGGGUCGGCUGCCCUUGCCCGAGGCUAGGCUCGGGCGAGGCGUGAUCGAGUCGCUCGUACGGACUGAUCCCUGACUUAAUCGCACCCAUCAGGCCUCUGCAGCUUUAUGCUGAUGGGGGUUACCAGCUGAGAAUUAGGCGUCUUGGGGGUACCCCUAAUUAUGGUCCCCGACAGUAGCCCCCGAGCCUCGAAGGGAGUGUUAACACUCGCUUGGAGGCUUUCGUCGCACUUUUUUGCAAGGGGACCAGCCUUUCUCGGUUGCAUUUUGUUCCGGUGGGUGCGCGCGAGCGCACCCGCCGGGUGUAGCCCCCGAGGCCUCGGAGGAGUGGUUUCACUCCUUCGAGGUCUUAAUGCCUUGCGUAAUGCUUCGGCGGGUCUGGUUGUUCCCUCAUGCGAACUGGCCGUAGCCCGGGUGCACGGUCGGGGCCCAAGCUCUCGGGCUGGUAUGUUGACGUUGUCAACGGUUCGGCCGGAGCCGGGUUUGCGAGAGCAGCCCCCGAGCCUCCGCACAGGGCGAGAGGGCGAUCAGGGACAGACUCGGCUUUUUUACAUACGCCCCUACGUCGCCUUUCCGCAAGGAGGAGGGGGGAGUGCGCCAUGUUACCCUCGAUGGGCACCGAACAUGGUGUCUCCGGUGAGCUGCAAGCGGGUAAUCCGAGUGGACGUCCGUGCCCCGUUCGUUGGGGGUCGGAUAGGGGCCCAGAGGCACGCCCAAAAAUACCUGCGGGUGAUCUGCCGGACCCGGUCCCCUGGCGACGGGGUCCGAGGGCUCGAUGCCUCCCUCCGAUGGGAUUCCGUUACAAGAUCGCUCCCGCUGUUCUCGGAAAUGUCCUAGGGUACCUCGGGAGCGCAGCCCGAGCCUUGGUUAUGUAUCGAACGUACCCCUGGUCAUCCCUCGCUCGGCAUCUGGGGCGACUGUGAACCCUUCGGGGGCCAGCCUUCGAACCCCUGAUCAGUAAUGGGCGCGGAGCCCGAGUAGCCUGAGGCGGCCGUGGAGCCCUUCGGGGGGCCGGCCUUCGAACCUCUGACCAGUAGUGGGUGUAGGGCCCACGCGAUCUGAGGCGACUGUUGAACCCCUCGGAGGGCCAGCCUUCGAACCUCUGAUCAGUAGGGGGGCUCGGAGCCCGGUUCCUUCACAGGGAAGGAUCCUUUUCGGGGUAUCCCCCUUUCUCGGUCCCUGUUGCAAGAGAUAGAGAAAGAGGAAAAAAGGAAAAGGAUACGAAAUCGAACGACGUGGCGUACCUUUUUUGGCGCGGUUAUUGCGGCGAAGGCGAAGCGUCGCCCGCUUCUCCUGCCAGAAGCGCCGCCUGUCCCGCCGCGGAGUUAAUGCGACGGGGCGAUUGGUUGGCGGGGCGGCCGUUGCGCGUGCGCGAGCCGUUCGAGGGACGGAUCACGGGCACGCCGUCUUCACGCCGUGAGAGGGGGCUCUCUUGCUGCCCCUGGAUGGGACGUGAGCCUGGCUGACGACGUGACCGCUGCUCCCGCCCGCCCGCCACCGUCAUUACUGCUGGCCCACUUUCGGCCGCAUUGACCGUCGCGCCAGGCUGGCGCUGCUGGGUCGUGCGCUGGGCCGCCUCGAGUCGCGGUAUUGGUUCCACAACCGAAGAGGCGCGGUGGUGGCGCAAGUGGCGGUGCAGUUACCUGCAUGCAGCAUCCGGCGCGCCGGUUGCGUGACGCGUGGGCCUGGGCCUCCAUGCUGGCGCGUUGGGAGUCGGAGAAGCGCGUCCACCUGGCGCGGUUGCAUGCCGCCUGCAUGGCCGCCUGCCCCUUCCGCCCGUUGGUCUGGGCCAAAGUGGGGGGUCGCUUGUAACCGCUGGGCGGUUGUGUGCACCACGCGCGGCGCUUUGGCUUCUUCUGCUCUGAGCCGGUUUGCAUGACAUGCGGGACCCAGCCCCCGCGCCGCAGGGGAGGGCCUUGGAGCGUGUUGGAGAAGACUCAGCCCGUGACGUUUGAGGGCGCACGUAGGGAGGGUUGCCUUUAAAAGGAGGGUGACCCCUUUCGGAAGGCGACCAUGUCUUCUUCCUCCCUUAUGCGUCGUGUCUUUCCAUCUUCCAAGCCCCCGGAUGGGGGGUACCCGCCGUCUUUCCGCCUCAUCGUUGGAGGAACGCAACUCCGUGGGAGUUGGUACCUUUCAGCCAUCGUUCGGCUUCAAGGAUUUUCAUCACGCAGCCCGGCUGCACCCCUCCACCGGCGGUCACCCAACAUGGUGACCUUCGGCUUGAUGGUGGGGGAAAGCGAGCCGGGCUGCGGCCCCUCCCCCUCCCUCAGCCUCAAGGAUUUUUAUCACCAAGGCUGGGGAGGGGAGUGCGUCGAGUUGGGGUCGGCCCCUGCGUGGGCGGUGGUCCGCUCCUUCACUCAGUGAUGGGGGGAGGAGCGGGUGUCGUCCGUGGCGCUGGCAGCUGCAGCGUGCCCGGCUUUCGGGCGCAAGUGGCUUCGGAGCCGCUCGCGGCGCCGGCGUCUGCCACGGCAGCUGGAAGAGGUUCUUCCGCCGGCGUGAUAGCCAGGGCCGGCCACGGACUGACCUCCAACUCUACGGCCUUCUGCCUGUCCUGCCUCACGAGUUUUGGCAUGGGCGGGGGCCUCCUGGCAGCAGCAUCCACCCUGAGGUCAGCGUUGCCGCUGUUCGGCCCCCCGGAGCAGAAGUCGUCGUCGUCGCCGCUGCUGGAGCAGGUGACGGCGCGCCGUUCGUCGGUCUUCUGUUGCUCCGCAGGCCCGCCCCCAUGGAGUGGGGUUGUUCGUACCUGCGGAGGGGGAACCGGAGUUCCGUUUGUAAGGGCACUUUGAAUGCAGUGUUUUUGUUCAUUGUGGCUGUCGAGGCCUGAACAUGUAUGUAAUUUCGGCACGGAGCCGUGUUUUUUCCUCAUUUUCGAGCACUAAGUCUCGCCUGUUGAUUAUCUGAACCGCUUCACCAAGCAUGAGUCGCCCCGUGUCAAGGUGACGAGUGAGGUAUCCGUAUCCCGGAGGCGUAGGAGUCCCUCGGUUCGAUCGGCCUUGUUGUCUGAGGCUCCUCUAGCUUAGUUAAAGAGACCCUUUGGCCGCUCUUCGAUGAGCCGAGGCCAGGGGUAGCGAUAUCAGUACGAACAGAGGCGGAGUUGGCUCGAAAGUGAGAACCUGGUUGGCCGGAGCCUAGCCGGGUUGUCCGUCAGCGGGACCGACGCCGAAGUUGACCAGCCGAGGCCUCGGGUCGGGCUGGCGCCCUUGGAGGAUGGUUGGCCGAGGCCUCAGGGGUGACCGGCCGAGCCGCCUGCUCGGGCCGGAUUCCCGGAGGAGUCCCCGGACCGCGUCGCCGUCCGAGGCUGGGUCGGACCUCACUGAAGGUGUCGUCGAUGUCGAGGGUGCUAGCCCCCUUCCAGCGUGAAGACCCGAGCCUGCAGGAUCAGAUUGUCUUGUAGUGUGUGCCUUCUGCGGCCGCUGAGGCCAGAGAACACACCCUCGCUGCGUUGUAAAGCUGUGUCUCCUUUCCUCUUAUUUCGAGCAUCUGGACUUUUUGUCGGUAACAGGGAUGUUUGUGCGAGCGAGAGUUGCUUCUCGCGGAAGGUGAUGAGCGAGGUAUCCGUAUCCCGGAGGCGUGGGAGUCCCUCGGCUCGAUCGGCCUUGCCGCUUACGCGUACUUUCACCCGUCCAUGAAGCCCUGUCACCGAUUCAGUCGAGAAGGCUUGAAGGACCGCUUCGGCAGAAGAGCUUCCGAACGUAAAGACUUGUUCGGUCCGCGGAGUCACUUUAUCCGAACGCGAGUUACUUAUCGCAGAAGGUGAUGAGUGAGGUAUCCGUAUCCCGGAGGCGUAGGAGUCCCUCGGCUCGAUCAGCCUUGGCUGCUUACUUGUACUCCGUCGUUUCCAGGAUCCGCUUUUCGAAGUAGUCAAAAAGCACGAAAGAUAUUCUGCUAAAAGGGAUCUUUUUUCGAGAAAAUUUCGACGCAGAGGGGGUCCCCCCCUUUUAGCCCCCGAGGGAGGGUCGGGCUUUGCCGAGGCGAGGCCGACCCUUCCUUGAUGACUAAACUUUGCGUGGGUGCGAGGUAUAUGAACAACUUGAAAACAUCUUAAGGGUAGAAGCGACGUAGCUGUUUGAUGUUCCAAGCGUUGCCGUAGACCUCGUCUUGAUUGUUGGCCAGCUUGUAUGUUCCGGGCUUCAGAACUUUGGCGAUGACGAAUGGCUGAAAGGGAAAUGUGCCCUUGGGCCAUUUCUAAGUAUUUUGGUGAUUGAGUGUCAACACAAGUGCUUAAAUGUGAAUCAAUGCCCAUGGAUGAACAAAGUGCAAAUCUAGAGCAAAGGUAUGUUUCUAAGUCUUAGUACAUUGGUUUUAUGUACUAAUAUACUUGUCUAAGUAUUAGAAACAGGAAGAAGAAGAGAAGAAGAAAGUUGGCUGUGUACAGCCAAGAGGCUGUUUCGGUCUGGGGCACCGGACUGUCCGGUGGUGCACCGGACAGUGUCCGGUGCACCAGGCUGCCUCGGCCGAAGAGACCGCUCUCAGGAAUUUGCUGACGGCGUACGGCUAAAAUUCACCGGACUGUCCGGUGUGCACCGGACUGUCCGGUGAGCCAACGGUCGGCCAGGGCCAACGGUCGGCCGCGCGAUCAGCGCAGGACACGUGGCCGAGCCAACGGUCGGAAGGGGGCACCGGACUGUCCGGUGCGCCAACGGCUCCCGCAUCUGCAACGGUCGGCUUCGCCAAUUAAGGAAAGGAAUCGGGCACCGGACACUGUCCGGUGUGCACCGGACUGUCCGGUGCGCCCGACGACAGAAGGCAAAGAUGGCCUUCCAGAUUUGUUCUCAACGGCUCCUAGCUGCCUUGGGGCUAUAAAAGGGACCCCUAGGCGCAUGGAGGGAUACACCAAGCACACCAAGCAACUCUUGAGCAUUCUUGAUCAUCCACACUAAGUCUUUGCGCAUUCGUUUGUGAUUCUAAGUGAUUCGAGCUCCGUUCUUGUGAGAAACUGUGAGAUAGUCUUUGAGCUCGAAUCUUGGCCGUGUGUGUGCGCAUUUCGCUGUGGAUUUGUGUGUGUUGCUUCCCUCCCUUACUCCGUGCUUCUUUGUGAAUCUUAAGUGUAAGGGCGAGAGACUCCAAUCUGUGGAGAUUCCUCGCAAGUGGGAUAAAGAUAAGCAAGGCAAAAUACCGUGGUAUUCAAGUGGGUCUUUGGACCGCUUGAGAGGGGUUGAUUGCAACCCUCGUCCGUUGGGACGCCACAACGUGGAGUAGGCAAGUUUUGUACUUGGCCGAACCACGGGAUAAAUCACCGUGUCUACUUUGUGUUGAAUUCUCUGUGAUUGUCGUAUUGUGCAAGAUCUCCUCUUUAGCCACUUGGCAAUUAUUGUGCUAACCCCUAACAAGUUUUUGUGGCUAUAAGUUAAGUUUUUACAGGAUCACCUAUUCACCCCCCCUCUAGGUGCUCUCAAUUGGUAUCAGAGCCGUUUCUCUUCACAAAGGGACUUACCGCCCGAAGAGAUGGAUCCUAAGGGGAAGGGAAUAGUGAUCAACGACAAGGAAAAGGAGUUCUUCGUCAACGACCCAAAAGAUGACAAAUCCAACGACUCCGGCUCGGGGCAUAGACGGAAGGAAGGGAAGAAGAAGAAGACAAGGCGCAUCAAGGAGAUCAUCUACUACGACGAUAGUGAUGAGUCUACCUCUUCCCAAAAGGAUGAUGACAACGACUACAAAAAGACGGUCAAUUCGAACUUUUCAUUUGAUUAUUCUCGUAUUCAACAUAGUUCGAAUUCGCAUUUGCUUUCCAUUCCUCUUGGCAAACCUCCACACUUCGAUGGGGAGGACUACGGAUUUUGGAGUCACAAAAUGCGUAGUCACUUAUUCUCUCUCCAUCCAAGCAUAUGGGAGAUUGUGGAGAAUGGAAUGAAAUUUGAUAGCUCGGAUAGCCCUAUGCUUAUAAAUGAACAAAUUCAUAGAAAUGCACAAGCUACUACUGUUCUCUUAGCGUCUUUGUGCAGGGAAGAGUACAAUAAGGUGAGCGGCUUGGACAAUGUCAAGCAGAUAUGUGACACCCUCAAGAUCUCUCACGAGGGGAACGACAUCACCAUGCUCACCAAGAUGGAAUUGGUGGAGGGCGAGCUUGGACGAUUCGCCAUGAUAAGGGGAGAGGAGCCAACUCAAACUUACAACCGGCUCAAGACCCUUAUCAACAAAAUAAGGAGCUACGGAAGCACGCGUUGGACGGAUCACGACGUCGUCCGCCUAAUGCUCAGGUCCUUUACCGUUCUUGAUCCUCAUCUCGUGAACAAUAUUCAUGAGAAUCCCAGGUACACGAUGAUGACGCCCGAGGAAGUACUUGGAAAAUUCGUGAGCGGGCGGAUGAUGAUCAAGGAGGCAAGAUACGUCGACGACGCGUUGAACGGUCCACUCCACGAGCCUCAACCCAUUGCUCUAAAGGCAACGAGGAGCAAGGAGUCGCUACCUAGCAAGGUGGCGCAAGUUGAGGCGGCCGGGCUCAAUGAUGAAGAGAUGGCUCUCAUCAUCAAGAGAUUCAAGACGGCGCUAAAAGGUCGAAAGGGACAGCCAAGCAAGGCCAAGACCAAGGGAAAGCGAUCAUGCUUCAAAUGCGGUAAGCUUGGUCAUUUUAUUGCUAACUGUCCCGAAAAUGAUAGUGACCAGGAGCAAGGGAAAAAUGGGAAGAGAGAGAACAAGAAGGUUUACAAGAAGGCCAAAGGCGAAGCACACCUUGGAAAGGAAUGGGAUUCGGAUUGCUCUUCGUCCGACUCCAACGACGAAGGACUCGCCGCCACUGCCUUCAACAAAUCGGCUCUUUUCCCAAACGAGCGUCACACAUGCCUUAUGGCAAGGGAGAAGAAGGUGAGUACUCAAGACUCCACUUAUGCUUCUUCUAGUGAUAAUGAGUCUAGUGAUGAUGAUGACAUAGACUAUUCAUGCUUAUUCAAGGGCUUAGAUAGAUCUAAAAUAGAUAAGAUUAAUGAGUUGAUUGAUGCUUUGAAUGACAAGAAUAGAUUACUAGAAAAACAAGAAGAUCUUUUAUAUGAAAAGCAUGAUAAAUUUGUUAGUGCACAAAAUUCUCUUGCUCUAGAAAUUAAAAGGAAUGAAAUACUCUCUGGUGAAUUAUCUACUUGUCAUAAAACCAUCUCUACUUUAGAAAGUGUCAACAAUGAUUUAAAUGCUAAAUUAGAAGUAGCAAAUAAAUCUAAUUCUUGUGUAAAACAUGUUGUAAUUUGUACUAGGUGUAAAGAUAUUGACAUUGAUGCUUGUAGUAAACACCUAGUUUCAAUUUCCAAGCUUAAUGAUGAAUUGGCUAGUAUUAAUGCUCAACUUAAGACUAGCAAGAAUGAGUUCGAUAAGCUAAAAUUUGCAAUGGAUGCCUACACGAUUGGUAGACACCCCUCUGUGACUAACCUUGGAUUAGGCGAG
Molecule: long non-coding RNA, 11456 nt
Filed under: Zea mays
Lineage: Eukaryota; Viridiplantae; Streptophyta; Magnoliopsida; Poales; Poaceae
Description: long non-coding RNA (ZMAY_LNC001675)
Source: RNAcentral